CCCUUUCUGUGUGUGUUUUGAGGAAGUAAAAGUCGUAACAAGGUUUCCGUAGGUGAACCUGCGGAAGGAUCAUUAUUGAAUAAACUUGGUUGGGUUGCUGCUGGCUUUUCGGAGCAUGUGCACGCCUAGCACCAUUUUUACCACCUGUGCACUUCUUGUAGAUUUGAAACACCUCUCGAGGCAACUCGGUUUGAGGACUGCUGGGCGUAAAAGUCAAGCUUUCCUUGCGUUUCAGGUCUAUGUUUUUACAUACCCCAUAAGAAUGUUUUAGAAUGUCAUUAAUAGGCUUCAUUGCCUCUAAAUUAAUACAACUUUCAACAACGGAUCUCUUGGCUCUCGCAUCGAUGAAGAACGCAGCGAAAUGCGAUAAGUAAUGUGAAUUGCAGAAUUCAGUGAAUCAUCGAAUCUUUGAACGCACCUUGCGCUCCUUGGUAUUCCGAGGAGCAUGCCUGUUUGAGUGUCAUUAAAUUCUCAACCCUUUCAGCUUUUGCGAGCUGGAUUGGCUUGGAUAUGGGGGUUUUGCGGGCUUCUCAGAAGUCGGCUCCUCUUAAAUGCAUUAGCGGAACCUUUGUGGACCAGCUUUGGUGUGAUAAUUAUCUACGCCAUGGUUGUGAAGCAGCUUUACAUGGGGUUCAGCUUCUAACCGUCCAUUGACUUGGACAACAUCUCUGACACUUUUGACCUCAAAUCAGGUAGGACUACCCGCUGAACUUAAGCAUAUAAAAAAGGGGGGAAAAGAAAAGG
Molecule: ribosomal RNA, 744 nt
Filed under: Collybia cirrhata
Lineage: Eukaryota; Fungi; Basidiomycota; Agaricomycetes; Agaricales; Clitocybaceae
Description: eukaryotic LSU rRNA
Rfam family: 5.8S ribosomal RNA (bases 310-463)
Source: RNAcentral